AGAAACCCAAUAAAUGUUUUGUCUUCCAUAAUUAAUCUUCCUAGGAGAGCUUCUAAUGAAUCUGUUAAGAUGAACCUCUACAAUCAACUCUUAUAUGGAGAUGAUGAAUAGUUGCUCUGUCGUAAUUCCUUGCAAGUACCUAGUUUUCAACCUUGUACUCACUUGAGUUUUAGGCACAAUUGUUUAGACUUAAGAUUUGCUCUAAGCCUAAAACUUGUGGGUAGCAAAUGCUUGAUAUAAGUCUAAGUAGUUGACGGAGAUGAUAUGGGGAGGUUUUGAGCUGCUAUCAAUCUUGCUCCUAGAGAUGCUAGAAUUCUAGAGAAUUUUAUUAUGAAAAUCUUAAAUUGCUACAUGAUGAGUUCCUUUAUGACGAGAGUUUUAAAAUUCCUACCACAGCCAAUUACUCAUCCUUACUAGAUUAGAAAAACCUCCACUUAUAUUUCAACAUAUAAGCAUUGAGAGUAGUUAGGCUGUGUAGACCCUAUGGAACUAGUCAUGCAGCUAAAGUCAAUAUUAUGUGCUCUCCAUCUAUUGAUCUUAGCUACUUUUGUCCUCAGAAGUAUGCAACCACUUUCAUCCACCACAUUCACUAUGUGCUACUUCAAUUCCUGGAAGUACCACCCAUAUAUACGCACUACACUAUGUGUUGUUUCUAUCCUUGAGACAUGCACUGUGCUGCUCCUACCCUCGGAGUAUGCAUUCCACUAUUCAUCACCCACACACAUUCCACAACCACAUAGAAAAUGUUCUACUCCUACACUGGGAGAAGACACCCAAAAAUAUUCAAUGUCUUAUUCUACUUAUAUCCAAUAAACCCCCAAUUAUCCUAGUUGAUACUACCUACUGUUGUCAUUGAAUUAAAAGGGAUGGCUGAUCUCUAAAAAAAGAGAGAAAAAAAGAGAGAAAAAUAAAGAAAGAGGACAAAAGUCCCAAUGUAAAAGAAAAGAAAGACAGCCAAAUCCUUGUUCUCAGAUUAGGGAGGUAUGUUAUCCCCAUGGAGCAAAUGAUGAAUUAGAUAUUCACCAUCAGUUAUCACCCCUCAUAACCCCUUUCAUUCUUAUCACUUCAUUUCACUUCACUCACAUGCACACAUGACUUGAUUGUAUAAUUAGUUUCUCUGGAUCCAUGGUUUAACUAUGCAAUACAUGCAAGUAGGUUUGAAUUAUCUUUCCCACCUAUGAGCUCCACAUAAGCCAAUUAGAAGUAUGGUGAGAGAGAAGGCAACUAUGUCUUAGUAAUACAAAUAACACAUAUGAGAGACUGGAAAGUGUCAUACAAGGAAACUCUAAGUUUUAUUUGAAAAUCUUGCAAAACUCUGGAAUAAUAGUUGAUCAAAGAGCGGGUAGCACAGUGCUUGACUUAGCUGUUCUGUCUGUCAACUGCCCAAGACCAAAGUGAUAGCUAUAAGCCCCAUGGUGAAAGGUAAAAUGGGUGAGUCUUGAGUCAGAAUAGUUCACUCUAAUUCGGUGGGGAUUCCUUGUUUGAAUACUUGUGUACUUAUG
RNAcentral lists this long non-coding RNA (1502 nucleotides) under Sorghum bicolor (sorghum). Its description in RNAcentral is "long non-coding RNA (SBIC_LNC001137)". The record is from RNAcentral. Lineage: Eukaryota; Viridiplantae; Streptophyta; Magnoliopsida; Poales; Poaceae.